RNAcentral lists this unclassified non-coding RNA (4895 nucleotides) under Aplysia californica (California sea hare). Its description in RNAcentral is "transmembrane 6 superfamily member 1, transcript variant X1". The record is from RNAcentral. Lineage: Eukaryota; Metazoa; Mollusca; Gastropoda; Aplysiida; Aplysiidae.
AAGAGGCAACCCACCUGCAGCGGGCGCGGACGCGAUGAUUCAGGGCCACAAACCCAUAAAGACUGGAAAUACCGCUGCUACGAAACCGAUACCACACAUAUGGACGAUAUUGAAUCAAAGAUCGUUCAUAACGUUAUGCACGAUCUUUGAUUGUGUAGGCCCCUAUAUUCGUUUGUGAUACUGAACCACCUCACGUCCUCAUAACAAAAAUCAUUUAGUCCCCAUUAAUAUCAAGGCACUGUUUUUUCAUAUGGAAAUGACAGAUGAGAGAGAGCUAGCAGUACUUUCUCUUUCAUUUUUAGGCCUACAGUCGGUGAAAUGAUAUCACGUGCUUUAAGUUCUAAGACGCAACAUUUAAAAUUAUUUUCAAAAUUUGGUUUAUUUAAAAGCUGGGGCCUAAACACAUAAUUAUAAUAUUAUGUCGAUAUACCUAUGGGAUCCUUGAUACAAAUGGGAUGAUCAUUAAAUCAGAAAAAGCAACUGUUCACUAAAUGCACAUAGCUAAAUAAUUUUCAUAUAAACACCAUGUUCUGAGAAAUAAUAAACGAUGAAUAGCAAAAAAAAAAACCUUUCGCUUUACAGUUCCUGAAAAGAACUCGAUAGCCAAUGGACUAUAUAGGCUUUCUCAGUGCUGAGAAAGCCUACUUAGUUCUUAGCCUAGGGAUGAUGAGUGCGUGAGUGCAAGCGUGCAAGAUGAUACCGAUACCCAUCAAACACGCCAGCGCUCGCUCCGAUACCAAAGAUUGUUAUAUGAUCAUUGCCGAUACCCGUGCGCGAUACCAGUGACCAAACAAACAAUUCUGCAACACGGUAGCAAGAAGUAAGAAGACUGCAAGGCGGGAUUCAAAACAUUACAAGCAGUGAACGAGAUUUUUUACGUGAUUUAUUUCUGUUUAUGUCCCUGCAGUGAUCAGGCAUCAGCGGAAACAUGGAUUUAUUUGUUGUUAUAGGCUUGAUUUUAGUUCAAGUAGCGUCUUAUUCAACACUUUAUGGAUUGGUGAAAUUCAGUUUGAUUGGCUCCAAGGGCUUCUUGAUUGGCAGCUAUGUUUCGGUCAUUGCUGUCCCUUUCUUGACGUACUUGUUGUUCCGAAGAGGUUUUAGGAAUGUCGACCCAUUGAUGUACGUUUUCAGCAUCUUCAGUUGGGCAGGUCUCCUUAACCUUGGAAUUGUUCUUGAACUAGAUGGCUUUAUUCCCAAGGCAUUGGCUCCAUUUACAUUGGAGUAUUUGCCUUUCCUAAAGACGGCCCAUGGUGCAGUGUACCUGUACUGGGAUGGAGUUGUCAACUUUCUACUCGGAAUAGGGUGCAUUGCCCUGUACACUUACCGAGAGACUCACAGAGAGGUCGGCUUGUACUGGGCUGGGUCUGUCCUCAAUGGCUAUGCAGUACUGCUUCCUGCUUAUUUCACAGCAGGAAAAGAUGAGAUCGGGUGGACGUUGUUUGCCGACUCUACCUUCUGUGUUAUCCCCCUUUUGGCUCUCAUCAAUAUGAUUCAUAAUCGCACUAUUCAGGCUCGCACUUUUAUUAAGUUUCCUCCUCUGUGGAAGAGACCUGUUGAUUUGAUCUUCUUCCUGUAUUUCUUCGUUGCUAUGCAAAUUGCAGUGAUACGGGCUCUUGCUAUUCAUGGUGCUAAUGUGCCGAUCAUCAAGCAGUAUGUGAAGUCUGCUGAGCCUUAUCUCGCUGAUCCCAGCGGAGCUCCUAAAUUCCAGAUGCUGACGUACGAUUACCUCUAUGUGUGCUACUACAUUUUCGCUAUGUACGGUCUCUGGAGUCCUGGACAGCACUGGAUGGGAGAUUUCUCCCUUGUACAUGCUGGAGCAGCGGGACAGGCCCAAUUCACCUACAUGGCCGGAGCUCUCAACUCUCGUACUUCCAAGAGCCUGCGACCUCCUAGUGGUGGAAAGGGAGCCAUUAUAUUCUGGGCGGUCAACGGAAUCUUGUUCGUCAUGCCCCAUCUGUUUGCCCUCUUCACGCAGCGCGAUACUGAGAAGUUUGGAAGGACACAGACCAUUGACUUUGCCAGCCCAGUGAGAAAGUAUGUGUACAAGUUCAAGGAGACUCGCUAUGAGAGGAAGGUGGAAUAGAUCUCACUUUGCUUGUGGCUCUGCUGCUGACUGAUUUAGUGCAAAGAUUUAUACUCAAAUUCGUUGCUUCAACUACUAUUUUGUUUUUGAGUUUAUUUUAGUACUUAAAGUCCACUUGUUGGCAGUCUUUAUAGAAAAAAGCUGUACUACUUUAACUUAUCUGAUUUUGUUCCAGUUGAAUUUGGUCACUUUCAGUUGGGUACCAGAGUGUUUUACUAGUAAUAGUUCUAGUAUCUAAGUUCUUUUCUGGAUAAAAAGGACCGUAGACCAUAGACCAUAUUUUUACCACUGGUUUAUUUCAAGAUUUAGCUAGAUAAUGCUAAGAUGUUCUUGAUCCCAUCAAGUAUAUUUUUUGUGAAGUCUGGAGAAAUAUUUCGUCUAUUAAAUUCACCCCUGUGUGUCUGUGAGUGAACGGUUAUUUUCUGCUCCAUUUUAAAGCAAUAGGCUCUUGUGCAAUGGUCACUGGUAUUUUUUAAAAGUUCAGUGUGCCUACAAUCGUUGAAUGUGCAAUGAACGUUGGAUUGUUGACAGGUGUAACUAUAGGUAGUCUGUGGUAACAAAACAGAGAUCUUGCCUUUGACUGUGCUACUUUUCAGCAUUGCCAAUUACUCCAGUCUGAUGAUCUUCCUAUCUCAGCCUGUCUUAUUUUCUGAUAGAAUGUGAGAGAUGCUAGAUUCGUUAUCCUUGAUGCUUGAGACUGUUGUGUCCUGUCCGUAUUUGGUACUAUUUGUUGUCAUGUAACUGUAAAAAGUGAAAUUUCUUCAUGUUAUUCUCUAUAAACUUCUUGCACCUUAAGGCAGCAAACUGAAGCAAGUGCUAUAUCUAUCCUUGCAUACUCUCAUUUUAUUGUCACUGUUGAUGUCAAACUCUAAAAGUUUGUUACGAAUCUCUGAAAGAUUUGCAAUUCACCUUCUACUUUCACAAAUGUACAUUUUUUUCUAACUUGUAAAUUUUUACUCUGUUUCGUUACUAUACACUUUGGGGGUGUGGUUUUUUUUUCGCAUAGUGCAUUAUGAAAUUUAUGUUAUUGCUGGCUUCAUUGGGUUAAGAAAUCUAAGUUAUCAUUGUGUAGAAAUCUGAAUGUUCUGCAACAUAUGAAGUGGAGUCCUUUAGCCCCUUUGUUUGCUCCUGCUUGCCUAUAUGACAUUACACGUACAUCAUGCUAAAAGCCUGGCGCUAAUAAUAUUCUUCUGUACAGAGUUUAAGCCAUAAAUGCUGCGUGGAUUUGUAUUCGGAAAUAAAAGAUGCGCAUAUCGGUUCUAAAUUUGCUUGUAUUUCUUUACUGCUAGGCUUGCAAGCGAUCGAUAAACACAGUUGUAGGCUUGGGGGCGUAAAAUGUAAACAUCGAAAUGACUUUAAAAAGUCAAUUAAAUUCACUUUUUGACUUAGAUUUGCAGGUUAUUCGAAAUUAUCAAAGAGAUGGGAGGAAAAGGGGAAUAAGAAAAGUGGGAAAAGUGACAACUGAAGACCUGGUCUCCGCUGAAAAAUCAGUGCUGACAGUAGGAACGCAUACCUCCUGGCAACGAAAGGGUUAAUUGCUCCUUUUGAAAAAUCUCCUAUGGGCACUUGUCAAGACAUUUAAACAAGCUAAUAACUCACAUAUCUUAAUAUUUUUUUCGUUAGCAUUGUUAAAAAUUUGAGUUUGAAUUUUACACCUUACAUCUAUUUUCUCUUACAAACGGCUUUUGCAAUAGUCAUCGCUGUUUUUUUGGGGGGGGGGGGGGGGGGGGGGGGGGGUUGUCAUUGAGAGAACUUAUUUUCUGCCAUGACAAAGAACCUGGUUCUGUUCCCAAUACCGGGCAUUAGGAUUGGUGUUAACGAGAUUUUUUUCAUGUUGUUGAUCAUAGGGUAGGUGCAAAGAGGUUAUUCAUAAUCUUAAAGUUAAAGCUCACAGCAGUGAUGUCACAUGUGUCAGAUAUGGGGGCCUUCUUACCCUCAUCAGCAUGCCCCCAUUUACAUGAACAAUCUGACACACCCCCCGCGCUCCCUACGACGAGCUCUAGCACGCAACCCCCGUUUGUUUACAUGGGGGAGAUCACUGCCAUAAACUCGUACUAAAUAUAACAUCUUUGGGUAGGUGGCAUUGAGUGUCAAGCUUUCUUUGAUAAUAUUGAAUGACUAGCUUGAUGACCACAGGCCCGCUUCAUCUUUUCUCGUCCCACCAUCCCAUGUGUUCAAAUGCAUUUACCUUUACUUGGUUUUAGUGUUCAUUAGUAUUGCCAUGUGCAUACUUUUUUUUAUUGAUGUGUGUACAUGUAGGCUACUGAUUUUACUUUGUUUUGUGAUUUAUUAUUUAAUUAUAGUCUUACAAUUUUAGUGACGAUUCAAUAAAAUUACAUCAUCUGACAUCUCCUCUUUUACAAAGACACAGACUAAUGAGUACAGGUAUAGCUUUAAAAAAAAUACAAAAUCACUUUCAUUGAGAUCAUCUGAAAGUCGGUCUUGGAUUUGUGGUUCAAAGAAUACAAAAUCACUUUCAUCGUAUGACAUAGUGAACUUGUUCUGCCUUCUUAGAGGUUUAUUCGUAUUUGUAAAAAAAAAUAAAAAAUUCUGAACUCAGAUUCUUCCCAUGCAAUUCCUGCUCAUUCAUGUUUUUUUGUGAAUAUGGGUAGAUGGUAGUUUAGAUGUCUUGCUGUAUUUGCGAAGUAUUUUUUAAAUUUGCGUACACUGUUUUUUAAAACUUUUAUUUUUGUAUUGUUGUCGGUUUGAAAUUUAUUUAUUUUGAUUUUUUCGGCUAGAACUAGAUAUUUUUUAUACUUAGUGCAUGCUACUGUAGACUCAGUUGUCACAAUAAAUAUCAUGAGACAUCAAA